UGGGGAAUAUUGCACAAUGGGGGAAACCCUGAUGCAGCGACGCCGCGUGAGUGAAGAAGUAUUUCGGUAUGUAAAGCUCUAUCAGCAGGGAAGAAAAUGACGGUACCUGACUAAGAAGCCCCGGCUAACUACGUGCCAGCAGCCGCGGUAAUACGUAGGGGGCAAGCGUUAUCCGGAUUUACUGGGUGUAAAGGGAGCGUAGACGGCAUGGCAAGUCUGAAGUGAAAACCCGAGGCUCAACCACGGGAUUGCUUUGGAAACUGUCAAGCUUGAGUGCCGGAGAGGUAAGCGGAAUUCCUAGUGUAGCGGUGAAAUGCGUAGAUAUUAGGAGGAACACCAGUGGCGAAGGCGGCUUACUGGACGGUAACUGACGUUGAGGCUCGAAAGCGUGGGGAGCAAACA
RNAcentral lists this ribosomal RNA (402 nucleotides) under uncultured bacterium. RNAcentral's name for it is "bacterial SSU rRNA". It matches the Rfam family "Bacterial small subunit ribosomal RNA", at positions 355 to 774 of the family's 1533-position model. The record is from RNAcentral.